This 253-nucleotide ribosomal RNA is filed under the name uncultured bacterium. Its description in RNAcentral is "partial 16S ribosomal RNA". It matches the Rfam family "Bacterial small subunit ribosomal RNA", at positions 524 to 776 of the family's 1533-position model. The record is from RNAcentral.
UACGAGGGGGGCGAGCGUUGUUCGGAAUUAUUGGGCGUAAAGGGCGCGUAGGCGGUGCGGUAAGUCACCUGUGAAACCCCCGAGCUCAACUUGGGAAUUGCAGUGGAUACUGGCAGGCUGGAGUAUGGUAGAGGAAGGUGGAAUUCCCGGUGUAGCAGUGAAAUGCGUAGAGAUCGGGAGGAACACCAGUGGCGAAGGCGGCCUUCUGGACCAAUACUGACGCUCAUGCACGAAAGCGUGGGGAGCAAACAGG